CAGGACAUAGUUUAACAAGAAUAGUGGCUUUGGGGGCCAGAGGCGGGGGUAAGUCCCUCUGUCUUGA
RNAcentral lists this transfer RNA (67 nucleotides) under Synapturanus sp. USNM 588794. RNAcentral describes it as "tRNA-Pro". It matches the Rfam family "tRNA". From Rfam's summary of the family: Transfer RNA (tRNA) molecules are approximately 80 nucleotides in length. Their secondary structure includes four short double-helical elements and three loops (D, anti-codon, and T loops). Lineage: Eukaryota; Metazoa; Chordata; Amphibia; Anura; Microhylidae. The record is from RNAcentral.